RNAcentral lists this long non-coding RNA (430 nucleotides) under Setaria viridis. RNAcentral's name for it is "long non-coding RNA (SVIR_LNC008405)". Lineage: Eukaryota; Viridiplantae; Streptophyta; Magnoliopsida; Poales; Poaceae. The record is from RNAcentral.
CGGACCUUGGGCAUCAGGUAGGGCCGUGUGAACGUACGUAUCCCACGUACUGGUCUUGUGGACGCGGAGGGCGACGCGGAGUUGUCGGCCGCCGGUCGAAGCUUGUGGGAGAAGUGGUCGUUUUCGUGUGUGUCGGCUGGUGCCUCUCAAGAGCUAGUAGUAGCCGGCCUUGUGUGGGUAUUCUUCUGUGACUGUUCAACUUCCCCUUUCUCAACUGCUUUGUUCGCUCUCAUGAGUGGUGAUGAUGAUUCGUUUUGGUUGUAACCAAAAGCCUCGUGAAGGGCUAGUUUCAGCUGCUGCAAGUUCAGGGGUCGUCUAGGCUACAUCGUCUCAGGUUCAGUCAGACCUGAAUAAACAAAAUGAAACAAAAAGAUGGUAAACAUGCUUUAGACCCGUUUGGUUCUUUAGUCCCUCCUAAAAUUCCUAUCAC